RNAcentral lists this long non-coding RNA (227 nucleotides) under Mytilus galloprovincialis (Mediterranean mussel). Lineage: Eukaryota; Metazoa; Mollusca; Bivalvia; Mytilida; Mytilidae. The record is from RNAcentral.
UGGAAAUGGGGUAUGUGUCAAAGGGACAACAACCCGACCAUAGAACAGACAACAGCAGAAGGUCACCAACAGGUCUUCAAUGCAGCGAAAAAUUCCCACACUCGGAGGCGUGCUUCAGCUGGCCCUAAACAAAUAUAUAUACUAGUUCAGUGAUAAUGAACGCCAUACUAAACUCCAAAUUGUACACAAGAAAUUAAAAUUAAAAAUAGUACAAGACUAACAAAGGC